This 119-nucleotide ribosomal RNA is filed under the name Ricinus communis (castor bean). The record is from RNAcentral. Lineage: Eukaryota; Viridiplantae; Streptophyta; Magnoliopsida; Malpighiales; Euphorbiaceae.
GGGUGCGAUCAUACCUGCACUAAUGCACCGGAUCCCAUCAGAACUGCGAAGUUAAACGUGCUUGUGAGAGAGUAGUACUAAGAUGCGUGACCUCUUGGGAAGUCCUCGUGUUGCACCCC